RNAcentral lists this ribosomal RNA (497 nucleotides) under uncultured bacterium. RNAcentral's name for it is "partial 16S ribosomal RNA". It matches the Rfam family "Bacterial small subunit ribosomal RNA", at positions 28 to 507 of the family's 1533-position model. The record is from RNAcentral.
GAUGAACGCUGGCGGCGUGCCUAAUACAUGCAAGUCGAGCGAACAGACGAGGAGCUUGCUCCUCUGACGUUAGCGGCGGACGGGUGAGUAACACGUGGAUAACCUACCUAUAAGACUGGGAUAACUUCGGGAAACCGGAGCUAAUACCGGAUAAUAUAUUGAACCGCAUGGUUCAAUAGUGAAAGACGGUUUUGCUGUCACUUAUAGAUGGAUCCGCGCCGCAUUAGCUAGUUGGUAAGGUAACGGCUUACCAAGGCAACGAUGCGUAGCCGACCUGAGAGGGUGAUCGCCCACACUAGAACUGAGACACGGUCCAGACUCCUACGGGAGGCAGCAGUAGGGAAUCUUCCGCAAUGGGCGAAAGCCUGACGGAGCAACGCCGCGUGAGUGAUGAAGGUCUUCGGAUCGUAAAACUCUGUUAUUAGGGAAGAACAAAUGUGUAAGUAACUAUGCACGUCUUGACGGUACCUAAUCAGAAAGCCACGGCUAACUACGUG